CCGACCUUAGCUCAGUUGGUAGAGCGGAGGACUGUAGUUGCAAAUAACAGAUAUCCUUAGGUCGCUGGUUCGAAUCCGGCAGGUCGGA
RNAcentral lists this transfer RNA (88 nucleotides) under Prunus persica (peach). RNAcentral describes it as "tRNA tRNA-Tyr". It matches the Rfam family "tRNA". Rfam says of the family: Transfer RNA (tRNA) molecules are approximately 80 nucleotides in length. Their secondary structure includes four short double-helical elements and three loops (D, anti-codon, and T loops). Further hydrogen bonds mediate the characteristic L-shaped molecular structure. tRNAs have two regions of fundamental functional importance: the anti-codon, which is responsible for specific mRNA codon recognition, and the 3' end, to which the tRNAs corresponding amino acid is attached (by aminoacyl-tRNA synthetases). tRNAs cope with the degeneracy of the genetic code in two manners: having more than one tRNA (with a specific anti-codon) for a particular amino acid; and 'wobble' base-pairing, i.e. permitting non-standard base-pairing at the 3rd anti-codon position. The record is from Rfam by way of RNAcentral. Lineage: Eukaryota; Viridiplantae; Streptophyta; Magnoliopsida; Rosales; Rosaceae.